Molecule: ribosomal RNA, 253 nt
Filed under: uncultured bacterium
Lineage: Bacteria
Description: partial 16S ribosomal RNA
Rfam family: Bacterial small subunit ribosomal RNA
Source: RNAcentral
UACGGAGGGGACUAGCGUUGUUCGGAAUUACUGGGCGUAAAGCGCACGUAGGCGGAUUUGUAAGUCAGGGGUGAAAUCCCGGGGCUCAACCUCGGAACUGCCUUUGAUACUGCAAAUCUCGAGUCCGGAAGAGGUGAGUGGAAUUCCUAGUGUAGAGGUGAAAUUCGUAGAUAUUCGGUGGAACACCAGUGGCGAAGGCGACUCACUGGCCCGAUACUGACGCUGAGGCGCGAAAGCGUGGGGAGCAAACAGG